GACGAACGCUGGCGGCGUGCCUAACACAUGCAAGUCGAGCGGGGUUGAAGCGAGGGGUAACUCGAACUUCUACCUAGCGGCGGACGGGUGAGUAACGCGUGGGCAACCUGCCUCAAGGAUCGGGAUAACAGCUCGAAAGGGCUGCUAAUACCGGAUAUGCCUAUGGCCUCGCAUGGGGCUGUGGGCAAAGGGGAAACCCGCCUUGAGAUGGGCCCGCGUCCCAUCAGCUAGUUGGUGAGGUGAAGGCUCACCAAGGCGACGACGGGUAGCCGGCCUGAGAGGGUGACCGGCCACACUGGGACUGAGACACGGCCCAGACUCCUACGGGGGGCAGCAGUGGGGGAUCUUGCACAAUGGGCGAAAGCCUGAUGCAGCGACGCCGCGUGAGCGAAGAAGGCCUCGGUUGUAAGCUCUGUCUGGAGGGACGGAAGAAAGUAGACGGUACCUCCGGACGGAAGACCGACGGCGUAACUACGUGCCAGCAGCCGCGGUAAAGUACACGUCG
This 505-nucleotide ribosomal RNA is filed under the name uncultured bacterium. RNAcentral describes it as "bacterial SSU rRNA". It matches the Rfam family "Bacterial small subunit ribosomal RNA", at positions 28 to 534 of the family's 1533-position model. The record is from RNAcentral.